This 459-nucleotide ribosomal RNA is filed under the name Triticum aestivum (bread wheat). RNAcentral's name for it is "partial small subunit ribosomal RNA". The record is from RNAcentral. Lineage: Eukaryota; Viridiplantae; Streptophyta; Magnoliopsida; Poales; Poaceae.
AUGAAUAUUCUAGAUGAUGCUCUCCAAGGCUUCAGCUUUAGAGGUGGCCACGUGCAUAUCAAGAAACAAAGGAACAAGAAGAUGGGUUUCGCGCAUAAAACUAACUUCUCCUGCAUCCAUGUCCCAAAACCAAGCAAGAAGGAUGGAUUCUACAUCGCCCAUCUCAUGAUUCAGUUCAACACGGAUCACCAAAAGCUUCGCAUUAACAGCAGAAAUGAUGAUCAAAUCCACAAGUGGCUAGAAUCUCAUGGAGAAGCGAAUUAUAAACUUAGAGAUGACUUCUUUCGCAUCCAAAGCGACAUUGCGACGAUCAUCAUGAAAGAAGUCGCCGAUGAGAAGGGGAUGUUCCACCACGGCCCUAUAUCGCGAGCUGACGUCCGAACUCGCAUAGGCAUGCAACGUCUAGACCUCACGCCGUUCAAGAAGCUAGGGUUCGUCCUCGAUGAUAUGGAAGGAUGA